CGUGCCGCUGCUUCCGCCGCGAGAUCGGCCCUCCGCCCGGCGCCGCUCGCCGGCCGCAGCCUCGGCUCGGCCCUGCCGUCUCGCUCCCCCGUACCGGCCGCCCGUGUCAUCCGCAGGGCGGCGGCGCUGGAGACGCUGCUGCCCCUGCACACGGCGGUGGCCUCGGCGCGCCUCAGGUCCUGCAUCGCCGUCGACUCCGCCUGCUGGAGCCCGCUCUCCCUAGGCCGACCACUGAGUACGUGCUGA
Molecule: ribosomal RNA, 246 nt
Filed under: Triticum aestivum (bread wheat)
Lineage: Eukaryota; Viridiplantae; Streptophyta; Magnoliopsida; Poales; Poaceae
Description: partial small subunit ribosomal RNA
Source: RNAcentral